CCCCAGAGUACAAAAACAAUUGAAGAAAAAUAGUCCCUACCCUCAAGAAGCUUACAUUCUUCUUGGAAAGGUCAGGGGAGUAAACAUAAUAUUUAAAUAGGCAAAUGUAUAAUUUUUCAUGAAGAAGCACAUUACAUUUUGAGGAAAGGGAAUAACUGAGGAUUAGUAAAAAGUUUCCUCUAGGGAAGGCUCCAAUCAUGAUGAAAAUCAGCAAAGGACACAGAAGUGGGCAGAUAGGUGGAGAGAGAACCAGGAGAGAAUAUCUAGGAGGAGGGGCUGUCACCAUUAUCAUCAUCAUAAUUAAUAUUUGUAUACCCUUUAAAGUUUUUCAAAGUCCCUUACAAAUAUCAUCUCAUUUUAUCAUUAUAACUCUGGAAGGGAUUUGCUAUGAUUAUCCCCAUUUUACAGAUAAGGAAACUGAGAAUGAGAAAGACUAAAAGACUUGCUGAGUGUCACACAGCUUACAAGUGUCUGAAACUGGAUUCAGUUGUCUUCCUGGUUCCAGGUCUGAUACUCUAUGCACUGUCAAAAGCUACCAGUGAAGUCAUGAAUGUCAAGAAGGCAAAAUUAUUUUUGUGCUGGGGAAGAUGGAACAAAGUGGUUAAAGGUGGAUUGAAAUCUGAGACAAGAGAAGAAUGGAAGGAAAAUACCUGGUUACACUCUACUAAUUCAAGUCACCAGGCCUGAUGAACUGCAUCCCCAGAUACUGCAAUAAUAGUUGGAUUUGAUUGCUGAAUCUUUGCCAACAAUGUCUGAAAAAAUCAUGGAAAACAUGAGAAAUGCUUCAGGAUUGAAGAUGGGAAAUGUCCUUAUUUUUGAAAAAGGAGAAAGGGUGACUUCUUCAAACUUUAAGCUGAUGGGAUUGAGCCUCAAAUUUUUACCAAAAUUUUAAGUCAUUCUAAAGAAAAUGAUCCAUGAACACUAAGAAAGAGAGCAUCAAUGUCUAAAGAGAUCAUUUGUUGGGGACCCUGCAGAGGGGAUCCUGUUUGAGUACAUACAGGUUCAUCAAAAUUCGAAUAGGUUAGCCUAACCACAUUUCCUGUUUAACUUUUUUUUAAAGAGUAACUAGACUGUGUGAGUUAGGAGGAACAUUGGGAGACUGGUAAACAUGGAUGUUAGUAAGGCAUUUCAUGAAGUUUGUGAUGUUUUCAAAGUGAAGAAAUUUGUUUUAGAUGAUAGGUGGUAGAGUUAGGGGGAUUAGGAAGUGUCUGAAUGAUUAUUCUCAAAGAGUAGUGAUUGAUGAAUAGAUGUCAGACUGGGGAGAAAUCUCUAGGGGAGUGAUCCAGGGGUCUCUUUUUGGUCCUAUUCAACAUUUUUAAUAAAUUGCAUUGAUGAAUAAUUAGGUGCCA
RNAcentral lists this long non-coding RNA (1349 nucleotides) under Monodelphis domestica (gray short-tailed opossum). RNAcentral describes it as "lncRNA (ENSMODG00000041322.1)". The record is from RNAcentral. Lineage: Eukaryota; Metazoa; Chordata; Mammalia; Didelphimorphia; Didelphidae.